AGGGCUAUAGCUCAGUUGGUAGAGCACCUCGUUUACACCGAGAACGUCUACGGUUCAAGUCCGUAUAGCCCUA
RNAcentral lists this transfer RNA (73 nucleotides) under Grammatotheca bergiana. RNAcentral's name for it is "tRNA-Val". It matches the Rfam family "tRNA". From Rfam's summary of the family: Transfer RNA (tRNA) molecules are approximately 80 nucleotides in length. Their secondary structure includes four short double-helical elements and three loops (D, anti-codon, and T loops). Further hydrogen bonds mediate the characteristic L-shaped molecular structure. tRNAs have two regions of fundamental functional importance: the anti-codon, which is responsible for specific mRNA codon recognition, and the 3' end, to which the tRNAs corresponding amino acid is attached (by aminoacyl-tRNA synthetases). tRNAs cope with the degeneracy of the genetic code in two manners: having more than one tRNA (with a specific anti-codon) for a particular amino acid; and 'wobble' base-pairing, i.e. permitting non-standard base-pairing at the 3rd anti-codon position. Lineage: Eukaryota; Viridiplantae; Streptophyta; Magnoliopsida; Asterales; Campanulaceae. The record is from RNAcentral.